Molecule: unclassified non-coding RNA, 306 nt
Filed under: plant metagenome
Description: partial contains 5.8S ribosomal RNA, internal transcribed spacer 2, and large subunit ribosomal RNA
Rfam family: 5.8S ribosomal RNA (bases 1-105)
Source: RNAcentral
GAAAUGCGAUAAGUAGUGUGAAUUGCAGAAUUCAGUGAAUCAUCGAAUCUUUGAACGCACAUUGCGCCCCUCGGUAUUCCGUGGGGCAUGCCUGUUCGAGCGUCAUCUACACCCUCAAGCUCUGCUUGGUGUUGGGCGUCUGUCCCGCCUUCGCGCGUGGACUCGCCCCAAAUGCAUUGGCAGCGGUCCUUGCCCCCUCCCGCGCAGCACAUUGCGCUUCUCGAGGCUGCGGCGGCCCGCGUCCACCAAGCUGAACCCCCCCGCCUUUGACCUCGGAUCAGGUAGGGAUACCCGCUGAACUUAAGC